GAAAUGCGAUAAGUAAUGUGAAUUGCAGAAUUCAGUGAAUCAUCGAAUCUUUGAACGCACCUUGCGCUCCUUGGUAUUCCGAGGAGCAUGCCUGUUUGAGUGUCAUUACAUUCUCAACCGUUUGAAUUUUGAACGGCUUGGACUUGGGGGUACUUGUGCCGGCCCUAAAGGUCGGCUCCCCUUAAAUGCAUUAGCUGGUCGCCCCUCUCGUGCUGACUUGGUGUGAUAAUUCUAUUUGCACCGCUUUGGCAUGGAUGUUUUUUGGGAGGCUGCUUUCUAACCGUCCCUUGUGGACAGUAGUCUCUUUCGAGCAAUGACACCUCUUGACCUCAAAUCAGGUAGGACUACCCGCUGAACUUAA
The sequence is a ribosomal RNA, 361 nucleotides long. The stretch from base 1 to 105 matches the Rfam family "5.8S ribosomal RNA", at positions 50 to 154 of the family's 154-position model.